GCACCUACGGGGCGCGCAGUCGAGAAUCAUUCACAAUGGGGGAAACCCUGAUGGUGCGACGCCGCGUGGGGGAAUGAAGGGCUUCGGAUUGUAAACCACUGUCAUGUGGGAGCAAAUUAAAAAGAUAGUACCACAAGAGGAAGAGACGGCUAACUCUGUGCCAGCAGCCGCGGUAAUACAGAGGUCUCAAGCGUUGUUCGGAAUCACUGGGCGUAAAGCGUGCGUAGGCUGUUUCGUAACUCGUGUGUGAAAGGCGCGGGCUCAACCCGCGGCCGGCACAUGAUACUGCGAGACUAGAGUAAUGG
Molecule: ribosomal RNA, 305 nt
Filed under: uncultured bacterium
Lineage: Bacteria
Description: bacterial SSU rRNA
Rfam family: Bacterial small subunit ribosomal RNA
Source: RNAcentral